UGGUUGAAUAUAGGAGAAUCAACUUCUAAGGCUCUAACGUUUAGUAUCGAUAGUGAAUGAGUAGUGUGAACAAAUGGUGAAAAGUUAUUAAAAAAGAAAAUUGAAAAGAUCCUGAAACUUAAUGUUUAACCUGUUAAAGCAUCAGCGAUAACGUACCUUUUGCAUAAUGGGCUAGUGAGUUAAUAAAAAUAGCAAGCUUAAUUUUAAAGUAGGCGUAGUGAAGACGAUUUAAAGUUAUUUUUAUUAAACCCGAAGCUAAUCGAUCUAAUUAUGAACAAGUCGAAGUUUUAUACGGAGGACUGAACCCGUGAAUGUUGCAAAAUUCUGGGAUGAUUUGUAAUUAGGGGUGAAAGGCCAAUCAAGAUUAGUGAUAGCUGGUUCUCUGCGAAAAUUAUCUAAGUAAUGAGAGUGUGAAUACUUUUUUAAGGUAAAGUCAUCUUUAAAUAAAGCAAUGGAAGAUUAGGCAAUAUUUUGAGCAACUUCAAAUGUAAGAAAGAAAAAUGCACUUAUUCAGACGUAUUCGCGCAAAGGUGAUACGUCAAGAGGGAAACAGCCCAGAUCGGUAAAUAAGGUGCUUAAUACUAUUUAAGUCGAAAAAAGGAAAACUAGUAUAUGACCUAGGGGAUAGGCUUAGAAGCAGCCACUCAUUAAAGAAAGAGUAACAACUCACUAAGUGUAUAUAGCUUUAUGAAUAAAAAAGCUCGAACUAGUUAUUUUUUGAUAAUGUAGAGGCGUUGAAAGUAGUAACCGAAUUUCCGAAAGUAAUAAACUUGGUAGCAGAGUGUUUUGUAAUUUGUUGAAGAUAAGUUGUUAAACUUGUUGGAGAAAUCAAAAUUAAUUAUACUAGUAUGAGUAACGUAAAAUAAUAUGAGAUUUAAGAUCAUCGGAAACCCUAAAGUUAUACUGCUAGGGAAUUCCUCGGUAUGCAACACGCUCCCUAAGAAAAAGAUAAAAAUCGUAUGUUUAAUGGGUAGAGACUGUUAUGACUUUAGUUAAGGGCUCGUCGUCGGAGCAAACCUAUUCUAAAUUCGAGACUUAACAAAACUAGAAAUAGAUCAGUCUAACUCCUACGGGAACAACAUCGUAUUAAAUCUGACACUAGUGGGUAGGUAGACUAUACUAAGAUGACGGAAGAAUGUGGUUGAAGGAACUCGGCAAAUUAAUUCUGUAACUUCGGGAUAAGGAAGAUUUGUGCGUACACUACCAAAGGUAGUCCCUUCGUACAAGUGUCAUAAAAGAGGGGGUGGCGACUGUUUACUAAA
Molecule: ribosomal RNA, 1262 nt
Filed under: Strombidinopsis acuminata
Lineage: Eukaryota; Ciliophora; Spirotrichea; Choreotrichida; Strombidinopsidae
Description: partial Bacterial large subunit ribosomal RNA
Rfam family: Bacterial large subunit ribosomal RNA
Source: RNAcentral